RNAcentral lists this ribosomal RNA (217 nucleotides) under Absidia psychrophilia. Its description in RNAcentral is "partial large subunit ribosomal RNA". Lineage: Eukaryota; Fungi; Mucoromycota; Mucoromycetes; Mucorales; Cunninghamellaceae. The record is from RNAcentral.
AACCGUAUGAAAUCAGCUUGACUCUUUGGUAAUCAGCCUGGGCUUUGGCCUGGGUGCACUUGCCAGUGAGUUAGCCUGCGACAAUUUGACUUGGGGGAAAAAAUUAGAGAGAAUGUGGCCUUGACUUCGGUGGAGGUGUUAUAGCUCUUUAAAAAAUACCCUGGGUUGGAUUGAGGACUGCAGCAAGCCUUUUGGGAUGAACUGUGGGCGCUUGGUU